Long non-coding RNA from Apodemus sylvaticus (European woodmouse), 8356 nucleotides. RefSeq lists it as uncharacterized. The record is from RefSeq and is a predicted model, not a curated record. The transcript has 5 exons. Lineage: Eukaryota; Metazoa; Chordata; Mammalia; Rodentia; Muridae.
UGAGCUUCUGCACGGGGAGCAGUUCACCACAGGCUAACCACUUGCUUGCCCUCCAGCACCUACCACAGACCCCACUGCACAUUUCUCUAGCAGAUCAACCUAAGGUCUCUACAGCCACUGAAAAGUCCCCUGGGAGCAAACUGCCUCUAGGCAAGGGACAGUGUUGUGGGUGUAGUGCCCCUAAUCUAGGAAGUUCCAUCUUGAGGUGACCAAAGGCAGACGAGGGCUGCACACAAGGAGCUUCUGUUCUGAUCACCAAGAAUCUCUCCUGACAGAGCAUGCGCACCACGGUGACACUGCCGACUCUGCCCUAGGUGCUUGUGUACCAGGGCCCAAAGCUGGAGGUGUCUCAGAACAGGUGCCUGUGGGUCAGUGGUGUGCGGUGCCAUUCCGUGUAAGAUGUCAUCAUUCCUGUGUGCCCAACCGACUGUAAUGCUUCAAGUGGAUAACAUUCUGAAAUACUGGCUCACUUCUGUCUAUGUCAACCAAACACACAGAAGCCAAGGGAAAAAGACAAGGAAGCGGCAUUGUGAGACGGGACUAGAAGGCCUGAAGGAAACGGAGAACGCCUGUGACUCCUCUGUUCGCAUCUGGUUUCUCUGUGUAGCCCUGACUGUCUUGGAGCUCACUCUGUAGACCAGGCUGGCCUCGAACUCAGAAAUCCGCCUGCCUCUGCCUCCCAAGUGCUGUGAUUACAGGCCUUCUUGUGUGUUCUGAAACCCCAUCAUUACCCAGAGGUCCUUGGCCUAGCGGCUUCUUCCCCCUGGAAGAUGCUUCCCUGUCUAUUUUGUACCAGGGCUCUGAGCAGAGCCCCAUCAGACAUUCCAGAUGUUGGAAGUUCCGAAACUGCUAACAUUGUUAGCAGCUAACAUUACCUGGAUUGUUUGCAGUUGGAAGGAUUUUUUUCUGCUUUUCAAUGAAGGUUGGGGAGCAGUCGAGGGUUUUGUCUACAAAUUGCAAACAGAGAUGAGUCGGUCGCCAUAUUCUAAUGAACAGAUGUUCAACAUCAAAAGUGCAUGGUAAGUUUAUCAGAAUAUAGAUUCUUGGGCCAGAACUAGAAGGUACUAGUUCUAGCAUGUAUGGUGGUCCCCGGAAAGGUCUGAAUUUGACCUUUAUGUGCUUUAUAAGUUGCCUUUAGGGGGCUGGAGAGAUGGCUCAGUGGUUAAGAGCACUGACUGCUCUUCUGAAGGUCCUGAGUUCGAAUUCCAGCAACCACAUGGUGACUCACAACCAUCUGUAAGGAGGUCUGAUGCCCUCUUCUGGUGUGUCUGACAGCUACAAUGUACUUACAUAUAGUAAUAAAUAAAUCUUAAUUUAAAAAUAAAUAAAUAAAUAAAUAAAUAAAUAAAUCUUUAAAAAAAGUUGCCUCUAAAGAGAACAUUGGCAUGAUGGGAAAGAAGCUGGAGAAAAAUCUAUCAGGGAAUCAGACUGUUUGCACUCUGACAGAAGAGGAGCCCAGAGCGGGAGGGAAAGGCUGUUUAAUUUUUUUUUCUCAUAGAGGAAAUAGAUAGAGGUGAAGGAGAACUCACCCAGAGCCUCCAGCGUUGAUGAUGCGGUAACAGUAAGACGCGGGUGAGUGUGACCCUGAAAUAAGUGGGUGCCGUGCAGGAAGGCGUGGUCGGGGUGAGAGGACAGGGAGAGAAGCAAAGUGGGCCUUCAGCGCACUGGACAGGGGCCGCAGCCUGGCCGUGGCGCGGGCUGCUAGCAAUGCUGGGCGGGCACUCGCGGGGAGCCAUUGCUUGUGAGAUGAAACCAUCCAAUGCCUUCUGAUCUCCAAGGAGUGGUCAGCCCACCAUGCACAGGAGGUUAGAGACGGCAGAAGGCAGACAAAGCCAUGGUCGUGAGUAUGGUGUGGAGCUAUAUAUCUGACAGGGGUGCUUACAUGUGUAAAAAAGAGAUGUUUCGAACUGAGAAGUUUCUGAUGUUGGCAGACAGCAUGCAAAUGGGAAUUGAGAGGGCUUCCUAAGCCAGGUCCACUUUCAAGAUCUCUACUGCACACACAACUCACGGUUUCUCCAGGAGAAGGACAUCCUCCUGAGGAUGACUCGGUUACUCAGGUGUAAAAAGAAUCUUCGUCCACCCUCCAGCCUGGUGGAGAAGCUGGAGACGGCUAGAUGGGUCCUUAGAGGCCAUUGCCCAGGACAUGUCAUGAUCUUCCUGACCCUAAAAUGCAUAUGUCUGGACUUGGAAACUACGCAGCCUUGAGGUGAAGAGCCACCUUGGCCCUAAGACCUUGAAUGACUCCAGCUCUGACCUAUUUGGACACUGUGGAAAACACUCCAUGUCCUGGAAGAGAGGUGAUAUCUCAGGAAGCAUGCAGUAGAAUGUGGCCCAGUUGCUGUCGGUGAAUCCUGGAAACAGUAGGUGUAUAUGUAUCUAUUGUCCUUAUCAAAUCUACACUGUAAAGAUAUGUGCUACAUUACCAUAUUUAUGUAUCCAGUGUUGAGGUGAGGAAUCAAAAGGCCCCCACCCAAACUUAAACCAGGUUAGGCCAUCUACUAACGUGCUGAGCUUGCAGAGCUAGCUGGGGACACACGUUAAGUGAGUGGACAUGCUAGAGGGACCUUCAGGAACAUAUGUAGUUUUGGGUGGUGUUGCCAAUACCAUGAGUUUAGCCAUGAACUUCAUAAAGCUUAAACAUAAAAUCCACACGGAGCCAUGCGGGUAUACAUUUAGCAGUGACUCGGAUAGAAAGGUGGUUGCUGCACAGAAUCUGGCUCCCUAGAACCCCGAAGCCUUGGCCUCCCAUCACGAUGCCCCUUUCCCACGCCACCACGGCCACGGUGCCCUUCCACUAAGCAGCAAGUGUCUAGCCAAACCGAAAGAUGCCAAGGCUGACAAAACUGUCCUGUGUGCUCACAUUGCACAAUUAGGGGAAGUGACCUGAGGAUGCAGAGCUCACUGGGCACCGGGAAGAUUUCUGCAGUCUUUACAAGAAAUGACCUGCUGGGAUUUCCCCAGACACCAUGCAUGGUUAUAUCAUCGUACUGUAUAAAAAAAAAUCUUCGAUGUUUGCUGAAUAUAUUUUCAGGAGGAUGUGAGAAUAUUUAUAAAGCUUGACAAAACGUGGAUUAUUUUUAUAGUCAUAUGUAUUUCUUAUUGUUACUUCUGUGUACAUAUGUGUGUCCGUGUGAGUUUGUUUGCAUCAUAUACACAUAGAAGCCCAUAGAGUAUUUGAUCCUUUGAAACUGAAUUAGGGGCAGCUGUGGGAUGUCUGAAGUGGGUGCUGGGAAGCAAACUCAGAUCCUAUGAAAGGGCAGCACGUGCUCCUUACUGCCAGGCCAUCUCGACAGCGGAAGACUAUUAUUUUCUUAUUUUUUAAAAGAUUUAUUUAUUUAUUAUAUGUAAGUAUACUGUAGCUGUCUUCAGACACCAGAGGAGGGCAUCAGAUCUCAUUACAGAUGGUUGUGAGCCAUCAUGUGGUUGCUGGGAUUUGAACUCAGGACCUUUAAGAGAGAAGUUAGUGCUCUUACCCGCUGAGCCAUCUCACCAGCCCCGACUUUUAUUUUCUUAUUUUGUGAAAUAGUGAAAAUAAUUGGGGCUCAAAUAGUUGCUACGCCUCAUCACAAAAAGUUCUUCCAAACAUGCUCCAGGGCUGGAUCAGAUUCAGGCUCUGAGGGCCGACUGGUCUGUUCUGUUUGCUUGUUUGUUGGCCCCUGCAGUGUAAGCAGUAUAAGGCUGGACCUUUGGUACAGGGGAUGUGUCGGCCCAGUGGACACCUCUCCGAGUCCCACUAGAACAGACAUGUUAUCCCAGGCGAUGUGGCAGACACCACACAUCAGUCACAUGGAGACAGGGUAGCCCCAACCUCUGCUGUCACUGUGAAGUUGCAAGGUUAAAACUCCUUGGAAUCAUUAUCUAAACAAGAGUCUCAGAAGGUAACCAGACUGCAGCAAGCUUUGACGUUUGUUUGUUUGUUUGUUUGUUUGUUUUUAUUUUCUGAGACUUUAACCUCUAAAAAAUGAGGUAGACUGGUCAGAUUUGUAACUUGCUAGCCAGGUCACAUUGACCAUACCUGACCUCAUGUUCGCUAAUGGUAUGUGUGCCUGUAAGACACCUGUAAAGUCAAAUACGCUCUCCAUACCCCUCUCAUCCCCUUCAAAGCUGUAUACCCUAGGAGUCUGAAAGUCUAUUUCUCACUCAUACCGAGGGAGAGGAGCAGGAUGACGGGAGCUUGAAUGGCAGAAAGAAGAGCCUAAAUGAGCUUGUCUGUCGGAGGGACAGAGCCCAGCAGAGAGAGGAGGAACAGGAACCUAGUGUCAGGCUGCCUCCUCCAUCAGUCUUCAGUUGGUAAUGACGUCAUCUUGUCUAGACUGGCUGGGGUAUGGAGAAUCCUCUCCCUAGAAUAUUUCUAGUUAAGAAGAACAGGACAGGGAGCUGGAGAGAUGGCUCAGCGCUUAAGAGCACCAACUGCUCUUCCAGAGGUCCUAAGUUCAAUUCCCAGCAACCACAUGGUAGCUCACACCCAUCUGUAAUGGGGUAUGUGCCCUCUUCUGCUGUGUCUGAAGAGAGCAAUGGUGGUAUACUCAUGUGUAUAAAAUAAAUAAAAAAUGAAGACCAGGACAGAUUGUUUUCUGGAUGGCAGCUGGGUGUGUCCUGUACAGAGCCAUAUUGGGGCUGGCACGAGAGAAUUUCCUGAGGUAGCCCUAUCCAGCGAAGCUUCGCAGAAAAGGUGAAAAUUAAUGGUAUCCGCACGGUAAGCAACAUAGAGGUCAAAACUAGCGCUAGUGAAUUCGUGUCUAUUGUUGUGAGUGCAGGAAGGGAUACAGUUUUUCAAGCAUACUGUGUGGACCCAGCGCAGGGACUGCUUGGGUUGAUAAGAUAGGGAAAUAUGGGGAAGGAAUUUGGUAGGCAUUUGCCCAAAGCUCGUAAGAGCUGAUUUCGGCGAAAAGAAAGGGGUUUUUAAAAAUAGGCAUAUGUCCACAGCUUCUAAGAGCUGUUUAAAAAGGAAAAUGGAUGCAAUUGCUUAACAAGCACGCUUAACUUUCUGUAUAUCUUUCUGUGUUUGUCCCGGUGCACCGACUGUCUAUGUGUAUGUUUAUGUCCUCUCUGUGUCUUUGUGUGAAUGACUGUUUCAUGUUAAAAAGAAAAAUUGGUAAGGAUUUCAUCUGCUGGCAACCUCUUGAGCCAGCCACAGUUUGUGUGGAGAUUGAUUUAAAGGCGCGCUGCAGCAGCGUAGCUCACUCUCACCCAAGAGGCAAGCAUGGCUGGGGAAAAAGCCGCUCUUAAAAGCCCAGAAACCUCGAGAUUUGGGAAGACCUUAGUUUGACUUGUGAAAUUCAUGUAGUCGCUUUAUACUUGUUUCUAAUUGGUUUUAAUGGUAUAAGGCUUUACAUUUCUUGACUUAAGAGUUAUAAAUUAAUUGGUUAUUAUGUAAAAGGUAUAGUGUUAUUAAGAAAAGGUUAGCUUAAAACUGGUGAUUCAGUGUUAGAGCUAUCUUAACUAACUACACGUGGCCUAACGCCACUCAUGCUUUGUUCUUGUUUAUAAUUAGAUUUAAAGGUAUAUUUUACAUGUCUUGACUAUAGAGUAUUGGCUUAAGUCACUGGACAUGAUUUAAAAGGUAUAAUGUUAUUAACAAAAGUUAGGUUAAGGCUGGUAGUUUAGGGUAGUCGCCAUUUUGAACAACACCACGUGGCAUGACGGUUAAGGCUGGUAGUUUAGGGUAGCCGCCAUUUUAGACAACACGUGGCAUGACGCAAUCCAGGAAAUACAGGCCUUUGGGACGCUCCUAAAUUGACAUGGUGUUUCAUGUGAAUCUUGGCCUGGAGAUUAGACUUAAUGAAGAUUAAGAUUUAAAAUAUUGUCUCUUUAAUAAGUUACACUGUUAUACACUUGAACAUAAGAACUGGCAUACAAACCUUGUGCUGUAAAUAUGUGUUUGCCAUUGAUUUUAAAGAAAAUAGAUUGUUUAAAAUUGAGAUUUGCUUCCAAAAUUACAAUUGUGCUCUAAUAUUGCAAGAAAACAUUGAGUUACAAUAAAAAUCAGUGUGUCAUUGGCUGCAGUUUUCAGUUUACAGGCUCAUAAUUGUUAACAUUUUGUAAUUAUGAUAAUUUUGAGAGUGAUGCAGCUAUGGGUUUUAGAGGCCCAUUGCCACUUUUCCACAAGUUUAUAGGCUACAAUGGUAGGAGCAAAAUUUAACCCUCCAAGAUUAAAGAGGAGAUCUCUGUGGAAAUGUAUUUGAUAUCAAGUAGGUUCCUUUGACCAUGGAAUUACUGGUUUCUUUUGUUUAAUCCUUAAAUUGUCCUUGUAGGUUUGGGUCUGGUCUUAGAUAAAAGGCUCAGAUUAGAAGAUAUUUACAUUUGAGGAAUCUCAUACAAUGUCCUUGCCAAGGACUCAAGGUGGAUCCUAGGGCAGAUAAAUAAUAAAAAAAAAAAUGUGUUUUGUCUCUGUUUCAAUACUAGAAGUUAAGAUCUUAAAAUUUUCAGUGUAUAAUGUUCAUAGAAUGUUUGUUACAGGCCCUUGCUCCUAUGGACUUUUAGAAUUUUUAGGUAAAUGGCUUUCAAAGGUUGUUAGGAUAUAUUAAUUGGCUUUAUCUUAUUUACCUCAUUUUAAGCUUGCCACAGAAGGUCUUAAACCUCUGUUUUCAAGGUAGGAAACGUUUGUUCCUUGCUUCAAGCAACAAUCAAAUUUAUUAUUAAUGGUUGGUCUAUUACAUGACAAGCAUUUUUAGGCAAAAUUAAUAAUUGUUAUCCAAAAGAUAAUUUGUACUAUCAGAUCACAUGUUUAUUCCUUUGUUUCUCCCUGCUUCAACACAGAUACCUGAAUUGGGUGCUAUAGCAGCUAUUUUUAAGAUGUUAAAGGUCAAGCUUUUAAUAAUAGUAGAUAUAUAUAUAUAUAGCUCAUGGUUUAUAAUUGCUUAAAAUUGGUCCACUUUUAAUACUGCUAAUUCUUAAUUUCUACAGUUUAUACAAAUGUGAUUCAAAUUUCUAAGAACAAAGGAUAUGUUCUCUAAAUGACUGUCCUUUAGGUAUUUGAAAUUUAUAUUUUGUACACAUCAAAUUGUAAAGAUUUGUUCUUGAUGUCCUCAAUUUCUACCUCUACCACGUAAUGGUGUUAAUCCUAGAGGACUUAGUUAUUACAGAUAAAUGAUAUUCAUAUUUCUAAUUUAAAAGAUAAAAAAAAAUAUGUACAUGUGACUAAUGAUUCUUUUUUAGGCUGUCUAGUUACAACUGCUCUAACAGAAAAACCAACUAAAAAUGCUAUGUUUAUUUUAUAUAAUUACAUAGUUAUUGCCUAUGUUAUGGGUUAUACUUUGUGUUCCAACUUAAAUUAAUAAAACAAUAUCUUCUUAGAAGAAAGAAGAGAGGGGAAAUCGUGUCCCUGUACAUAUCAUUUAAAUUAUGCUUGCAUGUUUUUAAGAAAAUUUUAAAAUUUAGAUGCCAAGAAACUCCUUGCUAAAUGUAUAUGACAUCUUGUAAUUAGACAUAUUGAUGUCUAGGUGAAAUGAAGGAAUUCACUUACUAACAUAUGCCAUGAUCCUGAUUUAAUAUUGGGGGAGAAGGCAUGUCCUCUGUUUUUUCCACAGAAUGCUACAGAAGAUAUGCUGACUGUGCUUGCUGAAUGCCCAGACCAUGGUAACAUAAGAGCUAUAUUGGGUAUAUGUUCUUGACUUACCUCAAUUGUCAAAUGUCCCAGGUUAGAUAAAUUGCCUAGCUUCAAGCUUUUAGACUUUGUGGGACAGAACAUAGAGACUGUUAAGCUAGCUUAGGAAAAAUUAAUCUAAAGAAGAGUUAAAAUGACUCUUCUCCUUAUUGUGUUCAGCUGACUCAACCAUAGACUGGUCUAGAAAUAAUUCCAAUAUUGAAGAUUCCAAUUUUGAAGAUGGCUAACAAUCUUCAGCCAGCUGUGUUAAUUUAACAUAUAGUCUCCACUUUUCCUGAGAAGUAACAGCUUAUUUCUUUAUACACAAGGCUACCUCUCCCACCUCAGAGGCCAAGCUUUGGGUCCUUAAAGUUGUUAAUUUACAACUGAAUUGGAUACUUCUGGGACAAGUUAAUCCUAUUCCACCUUUAACUCUUGACCUUGUCUGUUAAGCAGACUGGCUGUCUCCACCCAGGCUCACCUGGAUGGAGAGAUUGCAUGUCUGUUAAAGACACUUGCAGACCCCCCUGGCUUCAAAACUUACACAAGUGGAUCUCCAAAGAGGGAGCCACAUAGAACUCAGAUCUAUGUGUGUUUGUUUAUGAACAAACAUGGGUACCAGCGAGACGUGCGAGGCAAAGCACUGCAUGGGGAGGUGAAUUUCUGCUUCUGAGUCCCCAGGAAGUACACCUAAUUGCAUAGGGGUUAACGUCGAGAGGCUGUCCUUAAAAUAAUAAGGGAGCCUAUUACCCCUCCUCUGAAAAAGACGUU